GAUGAAGAACGUAGCGAAAUGCGAUAAGUAAUGUGAAUUGCAGAAUUCAGUGAAUCAUCGAAUCUUUGAACGCACAUUGCGCCCGCCAGUAUUCUGGCGGGCAUGCCUGUCCGAGCGUCAUUUCAACCAUCAAGCCCCCGGGCUUGUGUUGGGGACCUGCGGCUGCCCGCAGGCCCUGAAAACCAGUGGCGGGCCCGCUGUCACACCGAGCGUAGUAGCAAUCACCUCGCUCAGGGCGUGCUGCGGGUUCCGGCCGUUAAACAGCCUUACAAAACCCAAGGUUGACCUCGGAUCAGGUAGGAAGACCCGCUGAACUUAAGCAUAUCAAUAAGCGGAGGA
RNAcentral lists this unclassified non-coding RNA (339 nucleotides) under soil metagenome. Its description in RNAcentral is "partial contains 5.8S ribosomal RNA, internal transcribed spacer 2, and large subunit ribosomal RNA". The stretch from base 1 to 120 matches the Rfam family "5.8S ribosomal RNA", at positions 35 to 154 of the family's 154-position model. The record is from RNAcentral.